UCCUCUGAGUGGCCUCUGGUGGGGGUAGU
Molecule: non-coding RNA, 29 nt
Filed under: Rattus norvegicus (Norway rat)
Lineage: Eukaryota; Metazoa; Chordata; Mammalia; Rodentia; Muridae
Source: RNAcentral